This 492-nucleotide ribosomal RNA is filed under the name uncultured bacterium. RNAcentral describes it as "partial 16S ribosomal RNA". It matches the Rfam family "Bacterial small subunit ribosomal RNA", at positions 29 to 507 of the family's 1533-position model. The record is from RNAcentral.
AGUGAACGCUGGCGGUAUGCCUAACACAUGCAAGUCGAACGGCAGCACAGUAAGAGCUUGCUCUUACGGGUGGCGAGUGGCGGACGGGUGAGGAAUACAUCGGAAUCUACUUUUUCGUGGGGGAGAACGUAGGGAAACUUACGCUAAUACCGCAUACGACCUACGGGUGAAAGCAGGGGAUCUUCGGACCUUGCGCGAUUGAAUGAGCCGAUGUCGGAUUAGCUAGUUGGCGGGGUAAAGGCCCACCAAGGCGACGAUCCGUAGCUGGUCUGAGAGGAUGAUCAGCCACACUGGAACUGGGACACGGUCCAGACUCCUACGGGAGGCAGCAGUGGGGAAUAUUGGACAAUGGGCGCAAGCCUGAUCCAGCCAUACCGCGUGGGUGAAGAAGGCCUUCGGGUUGUAAAGCCCUUUUGUUGGGAAAGAAAAGCAGCAGGUUAAUACCCCGCUGUUCUGACGGUACCCAAAGAAUAAGCACCGGCUAACUUCGUG